UAGGUUGAGUUAUAGUAGAAUAUAGGUUGAGUUAUAGUAGAAUAGUAGAAUAUAGGUUGAGUUAUAGUAGAAUAGUAGACUAUAGGUUGAGUUAUAGUAGAAUAGUAGAAUAUAGGUUGAGUUAUAGUAGAAUAUAGGUUGAGUUAUAGUAGAAUAGUAGAAUAUA
Long non-coding RNA from Salvelinus fontinalis (brook trout), 166 nucleotides. RefSeq lists it as uncharacterized. The record is from RefSeq and is a predicted model, not a curated record. The transcript is spliced from 3 exons. Lineage: Eukaryota; Metazoa; Chordata; Actinopteri; Salmoniformes; Salmonidae.